CGACGACCAGGACUACGACGUCACGGAGGGCGAGGCGGAGGCGAUGCAGCGCGACGCGGCCGCGGCGCGCGCGAGCCCGGCCGCCCGCGCGCGCGCGCCCGCCGCCUGGCUGCUGGCGCUCGCGCCGCUCUUCCUCACGUGACGUCGCGCUGCUGUCGCUUCUGCCGGAACUGCCAACGUGACGUCACUUGAAAAGCUGUGCUGCGCAACUGCGUACGUCACACGGUCACGUGCACUGCGCUGCGCACUAUCUCUGUACAUAGCCUAUUUAUAGAAUGUAAAUAAAUGUCGGAUAGUACGCUGGUUGUUUCUCUUCAUAAAUUACUACGAUGUUUAGGUCGCCGCUUGCGAUUAUUGGCGCGGCGCUGGCACGAGCGCCGGUUUUACCGAACGAAUUAGAACGGUCGUGUUGUGUCCCGAUCUCAAUAUGUAGCAGCGCCUCUUUUAUUUAUAUUUAUAACGUAUAUUUUUGUGACAUUUACAACUAUAUUAUAAUGUUUGAAAUGUUAGUAUAUAUACAUGUAGCAGUUUUGAUAACAUCUAAAUUCAUAAGCGAGUAUUUUAGUGUUAGUUACGUUCGAUAAAACCGAGUCCCUCGUGAAAAUAGCGACAUAAAGUUGUGAAGUUCGCUAGUUUACUGCUAAUAGCGCGGUGUUCUCGGCACGUAUAAAGUAUUUAGUUAAAGAAAGUUAGAAACUAAUUCAAUAAUUUAGUUUGUUUAAAUUGGAUAGAUAAAAGUUAUAAAUCAUUCCGAUAACAU
This 760-nucleotide unclassified non-coding RNA is filed under the name Melitaea cinxia (Glanville fritillary). RNAcentral's name for it is "misc RNA ENSMCXG00005018000.1". The record is from RNAcentral. Lineage: Eukaryota; Metazoa; Arthropoda; Insecta; Lepidoptera; Nymphalidae.